UGGGGAAUAUUGGACAAUGGGCGAAAGCCUGAUCCAGCCAUGCCGCGUGUGUGAAGAAGGUCUUCGGAUUGUAAAGCACUUUAAGUUGGGAGGAAGGGCAUUAACCUAAUACGUUAGUGUUUUGACGUUACCGACAGAAUAAGCACCGGCUAACUCUGUGCCAGCAGCCGCGGUAAUACAGAGGGUGCAAGCGUUAAUCGGAAUUACUGGGCGGAAAGCGCGCGUAGGUGGUUUGUUAAGUUGGAUGUGAAAUCCCCGGGCUCAACCUGGGAACUGCAUUCAAAACUGACUGACUAGAGUAUGGUAGAGGGUGGUGGAAUUUCCUGUGUAGCGGUGAAAUGCGUAGAUAUAGGAAGGAACACCAGUGGCGAAGGCGACCACCUGGACUAAUACUGACACUGAGGUGCGAAAGCGUGGGGAGCAAACA
This 427-nucleotide ribosomal RNA is filed under the name uncultured bacterium. Its description in RNAcentral is "partial 16S ribosomal RNA". It matches the Rfam family "Bacterial small subunit ribosomal RNA", at positions 355 to 774 of the family's 1533-position model. The record is from RNAcentral.